Molecule: ribosomal RNA, 409 nt
Filed under: uncultured bacterium
Lineage: Bacteria
Description: bacterial SSU rRNA
Rfam family: Bacterial small subunit ribosomal RNA
Source: RNAcentral
UCAAGAAUCUUCCCCAAUGGCCGAAAGGCUGAGGGAGCGACGCCGCGUGUAGGAUGAAUCCCUUCGGGGUGUAAACUACUUUUCUCAGGGAAAAAUUCUGAUUGUACCUGAGGAAUAAGGGGCUGCUAACUUCGUGCCAGCAGCAGCGGUAAUACGAAGGCCCCAAGCGUUAUCCGGAAUUACUGGGCGUAAAGAGUUCAAAGGCGGCUUAUUGUGUUCUCUGUUAAAUCCCGGGGCUUAACCUCGGUUCUGCGGAGAAAACUAGUAAGCUAAAAGAGGACGGGAGAGGCAAACGGAAUUACCGGUGUAGUAGUAAAAUGCGUUAAUAUCGGUAGGAACACCAAUGGCGAAAGCAGUUUGCUGGAACGGACCUGACGCUAUACGAACGAAAGCGUGGGGAGCGAUACGG